Molecule: ribosomal RNA, 603 nt
Filed under: uncultured Dechloromonas sp.
Lineage: Bacteria; Pseudomonadati; Pseudomonadota; Betaproteobacteria; Rhodocyclales; Azonexaceae
Description: bacterial SSU rRNA
Rfam family: Bacterial small subunit ribosomal RNA
Source: RNAcentral
GGACCCGCACAAGCGGUGGAUGAUGUGGAUUAAUUCGAUGCAACGCGAAAAACCUUACCUACCCUUGACAUGUCCGGAAGCCCUUAGAGAUUUGGGUGUGCUCGAAAGAGAGCCGGAACACAGGUGCUGCAUGGCUGUCGUCAGCUCGUGUCGUGAGAUGUUGGGUUAAGUCCCGCAACGAGCGCAACCCUUGUCGUUAAUUGCCAUCAUUCAGUUGGGCACUUUAACGAGACUGCCGGUGACAAACCGGAGGAAGGUGGGGAUGACGUCAAGUCCUCAUGGCCCUUAUGGGUAGGGCUUCACACGUCAUACAAUGGUCGGUACAAAGGGUUGCCAACCCGCGAGGGGGAGCUAAUCCCAGAAAGCCGAUCGUAGUCCGGAUAGUAGGCUGCAACUCGCCUGCUUGAAGUCGGAAUCGCUAGUAAUCGUGGAUCAGCAUGUCACGGUGAAUACGUUCCCGGGUCUUGUACACACCGCCCGUCACACCAUGGGAGCGGGUUCCGCCAGAAGUAGGUAGCCUAACCGCAAGGAGGGCGCUUACCACGGCGGGGUUCGUGACUGGGGUGAAGUCGUAACAAGGUAGCCGUAGGGGAACCUGCGGCU